Molecule: transfer RNA, 69 nt
Filed under: Dactylomys dactylinus (Amazon bamboo rat)
Lineage: Eukaryota; Metazoa; Chordata; Mammalia; Rodentia; Echimyidae
Description: tRNA-Tyr
Rfam family: tRNA
About the family: Transfer RNA (tRNA) molecules are approximately 80 nucleotides in length.
Source: RNAcentral
GGUAGGGUGGCUGAGGAAAGCAUUAGACUGUAAAUCUAAGCAUAAAGGUAUGUAAUCCUUUCUCUACCA